CACAGCGGAUAAAUAAUAUUUCAGUCAAUCAAGAUAUAUAGUUUAUUAAAAUUUUAAAAAUAAAAAAUUAUAUCAAAAGAAAUACACAAAAAAAAUCUAUAAAAUAGUCUUAUAUACAUUAUAAAAAAUAUUUUUUAUUAAUAUAUUUUUAACUUUCAAUAUUUAUAGAGUUAAAUUAUUCUAAUAAUUUUAUUUAAAAAUUUACCCAAAAUC
RNAcentral lists this long non-coding RNA (213 nucleotides) under Ananas comosus (pineapple). RNAcentral describes it as "long non-coding RNA (ACOM_LNC022828)". Lineage: Eukaryota; Viridiplantae; Streptophyta; Magnoliopsida; Poales; Bromeliaceae. The record is from RNAcentral.